GGAAGCGUAUCGAAGUGGUCAUAACGGCCCUGACUCGAAAUCAGGUAGUCCAGCAAUGGGCUCGUGGGUUCGAAUCCCACCGCUUCCGGCA
This 91-nucleotide transfer RNA is filed under the name Clostridium sp. Its description in RNAcentral is "tRNA-Ser". It matches the Rfam family "tRNA". Rfam says of the family: Transfer RNA (tRNA) molecules are approximately 80 nucleotides in length. Their secondary structure includes four short double-helical elements and three loops (D, anti-codon, and T loops). The record is from RNAcentral. RNAcentral also lists the same sequence under 1 other name. Lineage: Bacteria; Bacillati; Bacillota; Clostridia; Eubacteriales; Clostridiaceae.